RNAcentral lists this ribosomal RNA (253 nucleotides) under uncultured bacterium. RNAcentral describes it as "partial 16S ribosomal RNA". It matches the Rfam family "Bacterial small subunit ribosomal RNA", at positions 524 to 776 of the family's 1533-position model. The record is from RNAcentral.
UACGUAGGGGGCUAGCGUUGUCCGGAAUCAUUGGGCGUAAAGAGCGCGUAGGCGGUCCGAUAAGUCGGCUGUGAAAGUCCAGGGCUCAACCCUGGAAAGCCGGCCGAUACUGUCGGACUAGAGUCCGGAAGAGGCAAGUGGAAUUCCCGGUGUAGCGGUGAAAUGCGCAGAUAUCGGGAGGAACACCAAUGGCGAAGGCGACUACCUGGCCUGUUCUUGACGCUGAGGCGCGAAAGCUAGGGGAGCAAACGGG